GUCCACACAGUAAACGAUGAAUACUCGCUGUUGGCGAUAUACGGUCAGCGGCCAAGCGAAAGCAUUAAGUAUUCCACCUGGGGAGUACGCCGGCAACGGUGAAACUCAAAGGAAUUGACGGGGGCCCGCACAAGCGGAGGAACAUGUGGUUUAAUUCGAUGAUACGCGAGGAACCUUACCCGGGCUUAAAUUGCAACUGACUGAACCGGAAACGGUUCUUUCUUCGGACAGUUGUGAAGGUGCUGCAUGGUUGUCGU
RNAcentral lists this ribosomal RNA (257 nucleotides) under uncultured bacterium. RNAcentral describes it as "partial 16S ribosomal RNA". It matches the Rfam family "Bacterial small subunit ribosomal RNA", at positions 793 to 1055 of the family's 1533-position model. The record is from RNAcentral.